This 241-nucleotide unclassified non-coding RNA is filed under the name Hevea brasiliensis (rubber tree). Lineage: Eukaryota; Viridiplantae; Streptophyta; Magnoliopsida; Malpighiales; Euphorbiaceae. The record is from RNAcentral.
CAAGGAUCUCUACCUUGAAGCAAUCAUUCCCCUUAAUGGAAGACAAGAAGGGCCUGGCCUCUGCAGAGGAACUGGCUGAAGUUGAAGGCUAGGCUUCUCUACUGGCUGCAGUUGACUAUUAUGUGAACUUGCAGAGUGACAUCUUUAUAUCUGCAUCAACAGGAAACAUGCAUAAUGCUUUGGUGGGAUACAGAACUUACCUGAACCUGAAGACCACAAGACCAAACAUGGUGCUGCUGGG